RNAcentral lists this non-coding RNA (29 nucleotides) under Homo sapiens (human). Lineage: Eukaryota; Metazoa; Chordata; Mammalia; Primates; Hominidae. The record is from RNAcentral.
UCCCAGGUGACAUAGAUGGCAUCAAUUCU